GUUAUAGCAUGGGCAGUGGCAAUUCAAUCUUCCCCCAUACUGCCAAAUUAAAGUACCUUAA
This 61-nucleotide small RNA is filed under the name Phascolarctos cinereus (koala). Its description in RNAcentral is "TUC338 (ENSPCIG00000025471.2)". Lineage: Eukaryota; Metazoa; Chordata; Mammalia; Diprotodontia; Phascolarctidae. The record is from RNAcentral.